AUGAUGUGAAGCAAGGGCACGGAUUUGGAAGGUGGCUGCCGCAGAGAGAGACGCUGCCGUUUUAGAGGGAUGUUGGAGGGGGCUAAAACUCUUUUGUUACUCAGGGGUGGCCAACCUAUCGUCCCAAUAUUGUGGGGCGCCGGAAGGACGUGGACGGGAAACGGGGAGGAGCCUAAGCCAGGAGGAGAGACGACCUAUAAAAGCCCGAAUUGAGGCGGACAGAGGAGAAUCGUGGUUCACGCGUAUACCAAGGCAGGCUGAGAGCGACUAAUCUGCAGGUAACUGACCCUUUUGGUGGGCGCGCGUGGACUGGCCGAGGACGUCUGCUGUGGGGGCCCCGUCGAAGGCCAUUUGGCUAUCGGCGAGUGUUGGGUCUAGUCGCUGCUGGAAAUUCGCCGGAGAAAUCGGCGUAGCAGGGCGGACACGGGUUUGUGGUCGAGCGAAGAAGGGAAGAUAUUGGCGUGAAGGCUAAUCUCCGAGUUCCAUCUAUUUUUUUCUGUGUGCUCUAAACUAUAAUUUUCGUCGAGGAAUUUAUUGAGGAUUUCCUGGCUCGGAGGACCCACUCAUAAAGGGAGAGUGUAGUUUUCGAAUUCUUGAGAACAUUAUUGGGAUUUUGAGUCAGUCUCGAAAUUUAUAUUCUUCUUUACGCAACAUUCUGGUGUCAGGUGUUUCAAACAUGCCAGUCGAAAAUGUAAAUCCUCUGCAGGGGAAUGCGGCUAUCGACGAGCAGCAGCAGCAGCAGCCGCAACCCCCACCCCAUCCACUUCAACAGCCCCCACAACAGUUUCAACCAGGUCAACAACCCCCACAAUUCCAUCCUCAAGGGGGGUGGGGAGGAGGCUAUGGGCCUCCAGGUGGGGCGUACCCCUUCAUGCCACCACCAGUAACACUGGAGAUGGUGCCUCGAUUUUCAGGAUCAGGUCAAGGCGCCUCGCUGGAGGACUUCCUCACAGCAAUGGAGGGGUAUAUGUCAUUUUACUCAC
This is a long non-coding RNA of Cloeon dipterum, 983 nucleotides long. RefSeq lists it as uncharacterized. The record is from RefSeq and is a predicted model, not a curated record. Lineage: Eukaryota; Metazoa; Arthropoda; Insecta; Ephemeroptera; Baetidae. The transcript has 4 exons.